Molecule: ribosomal RNA, 465 nt
Filed under: Vreelandella stevensii
Lineage: Bacteria; Pseudomonadati; Pseudomonadota; Gammaproteobacteria; Oceanospirillales; Halomonadaceae
Description: partial 16S ribosomal RNA
Rfam family: Bacterial small subunit ribosomal RNA
Source: RNAcentral
CCUACGGGUGGCAGCAGUGGGGAAUAUUGGACAAUGGGCGAAAGCCUGAUCCAGCCAUGCCGCGUGUGUGAAGAAGGCCUUCGGGUUGUAAAGCACUUUCAGUGGGGAAGAAAGCCUUGGGGCUAAUACCCUCGAGGAAGGACAUCACCCACAGAAGAAGCACCGGCUAACUCCGUGCCAGCAGCCGCGGUAAUACGGAGGGUGCGAGCGUUAAUCGGAAUUACUGGGCGUAAAGCGCGCGUAGGCGGUCUGAUAAGCCGGUUGUGAAAGCCCCGGGCUCAACCUGGGAACGGCAUCCGGAACUGUCAGUCUAGAGGGCAGGAGAGGAAGGUAGAAUUCCCGGUGUAGCGGUGAAAUGCGUAGAGAUCGGGAGGAAUACCAGUGGCGAAGGCGGCCUUCUGGACUGACACUGACGCUGAGGUGCGAAAGCGUGGGUAGCAAACAGGAUUAGAUACCCCAGUAGUC